UACGGAGGGUGCAAGCAUUAAUCGGAUUUAUUGGGCGUAAAGGGCGCGUAGGCUGGGAUAUAAGUCAGAUGUGAAAUCCCGAGGCUCAACCUCGGAACAGCAUUUGAAACUGUAUCUCUAGAGGAUAGGAGGAGAAAACGGAAUUCCACAAGUAGCGGUGAAAUGCGUAGAUAUGUGGAAGAACACCGGUGGCGAAGGCGGUUUUCUAUCUUAUUCCUGACGCUGAUGCGCGAAAGCAAGGGGAUCAAACAGG
Molecule: ribosomal RNA, 253 nt
Filed under: uncultured bacterium
Lineage: Bacteria
Description: partial 16S ribosomal RNA
Rfam family: Bacterial small subunit ribosomal RNA
Source: RNAcentral